AGCAUAUCAAUAAGCGGAGGAAAAGAAACCAACAGGGAUUGCCCUAGUAACGGCGAGCGAAGCGGCAACAGCUCAAAUUUGAAAUCUGGCUACUUUGUAGUCCGAGUUGUAAUUUGUAGAGGAUGCUUUUGGUGAGGUGCCUUCCGAGUUCCCUGGAACGGGACGCCAGAGAGGGUGAGAGCCCCGUACGGUUGGAUACCAAACCUUUGUAUAGCUCCUUCAACGAGUCGAGUAGUUUGGGAAUGCUGCUCUAAAUGGGAGGUAUAUCUCUUCUAAAGCUAAAUAUAGGCUAGAGACCGAUAGCGCACAAGUAGAGUGAUCGAAAGAUGAAAAGCACUUUGAAAAGAGAGUUAAACAGCACGUGAAAUUGUUGAAAGGGAAGCGCCUAUGACCAGACUUGUUUCUUUCAGUUUUGUUAGUUCUCGGACUGAUUUACUCUGUUAGUACAGGCCAGCAUCAGUUUGUUGUCGGGGAGAAAGGCUUAGGGAAUGUGGCUCCUUCGGGAGUGUUAUAGCCCUUUGCAUAAUACCCUUCGGCAGACUGAGGACCGCGCUUCGGCAAGGAUGCUGGCGUAAUGGUCAUCAGCGACCCGUCUUGAAACACGGACCAAGGAGUCAACCUUAUGUGCGAGUGUUUGGGUGUAAAACCCCAGCGCGUAAUGAACGUGAACGUAGGUGAGAGCUUCGGCGCAUCAUCGACCGAUUCUGAUGUUCUCGGAUGGAUUUGAGUAAGAGCACACAGGGUUGGACCCGAAAGAAGGUGAACUAUGCUUGUAUAGGGUGAAGCCAGAGGAAACUCUGGUGGAGGCUCGCAGCGGUUCUGACGUGCAAAUCGAUCGUCAAAUAUGAGCAUGGGGGCGAAAGACUAAUCGAACCUUCUAGUAGCUGGUU
RNAcentral lists this ribosomal RNA (890 nucleotides) under Chalaropsis thielavioides. RNAcentral describes it as "partial large subunit ribosomal RNA". It matches the Rfam family "Eukaryotic large subunit ribosomal RNA", at positions 37 to 956 of the family's 3401-position model. Lineage: Eukaryota; Fungi; Ascomycota; Sordariomycetes; Microascales; Ceratocystidaceae. The record is from RNAcentral.